UGGGAGGGAAGCGGCAGUAAUAGGUGUCCGUGCUCUUUCGGAGCCAUCGGACAGAGUAGCUCCGUCGACAGGUU
RNAcentral lists this transfer RNA (74 nucleotides) under Candidozyma auris. RNAcentral describes it as "[Candida] auris tRNA-Val". Lineage: Eukaryota; Fungi; Ascomycota; Pichiomycetes; Serinales; Metschnikowiaceae. The record is from RNAcentral.